ACACACUCUUGACAUUGUAUAAACAUGACCAAGGUGUCAUACGUCCCCGUGGUUUUCACGGUGCUUACGAUUGCGUUCCUUUUGUCCACGUUGCGAGAAGGUGUCCUUUGUGAGGAAGUGGAAGCUUUACGUUUUCCGAGGUUUAAAUUCAAACUGCCUCGAUUUAAAUUACCACCACUAAAAAUACCCAGAUCGGCUUUUCCCAAAGUUUCACUGGUAAAACCCAGUCUUUCUCCUCUCAGGAGAUUGCCCAUGCAACAUGUAAACCGUGCGGUGUCUUCUCUAUCUGACAUAGCAGCGAGUGCGACGCGAAUACACAUGGCGAAACAAGCCGCUCCACAGGACUAGACAAAUAAAAGGGAUAAUAAGAGCUGCGAAGAUGCCAUUUGGAAGGAAACGACUUGCUGCAAUAGCUUUCUCCGAGAUAAAAUGUAAAAUAAAAAAAAUCUACGCAUA
Molecule: long non-coding RNA, 456 nt
Organism: Rhipicephalus microplus (southern cattle tick)
Lineage: Eukaryota; Metazoa; Arthropoda; Arachnida; Ixodida; Ixodidae
Source: RefSeq, a predicted model, not a curated record